GAAUUGUGCAUAAGGAGAGUGCAUGGCUUAUGCGGAUUCGCGCCCCCUUAUGCAAUCUCAUGGAAUUGUGCAUAACCUAUGCACCUGAUCAUGCAGUUUUGCAUAAGUGAACCAGAAACCAGCCGAAACUUGCAUAAGGGACUGCAUGACUUAUGCAGUCCACUUAUGCAGUUCCAUAAAGUCUUCAUAAUGAGCUGGCAGAA
This 203-nucleotide unclassified non-coding RNA is filed under the name Hevea brasiliensis (rubber tree). The record is from RNAcentral. Lineage: Eukaryota; Viridiplantae; Streptophyta; Magnoliopsida; Malpighiales; Euphorbiaceae.